Molecule: transfer RNA, 73 nt
Filed under: Candidatus Zixiibacteriota bacterium
Lineage: Bacteria; Pseudomonadati; Candidatus Zixiibacteriota
Description: candidate division Zixibacteria bacterium (sediment metagenome) tRNA-Phe
Rfam family: tRNA
About the family: Transfer RNA (tRNA) molecules are approximately 80 nucleotides in length. Their secondary structure includes four short double-helical elements and three loops (D, anti-codon, and T loops). Further hydrogen bonds mediate the characteristic L-shaped molecular structure. tRNAs have two regions of fundamental functional importance: the anti-codon, which is responsible for specific mRNA codon recognition, and the 3' end, to which the tRNAs corresponding amino acid is attached (by aminoacyl-tRNA synthetases). tRNAs cope with the degeneracy of the genetic code in two manners: having more than one tRNA (with a specific anti-codon) for a particular amino acid; and 'wobble' base-pairing, i.e. permitting non-standard base-pairing at the 3rd anti-codon position.
Source: RNAcentral
GCCGCGGUAGCUCAGUUGGUAGAGCAACGGACUGAAAAUCCGUGUGUCGCCGGUUCGAUUCCGGCCUGCGGCA